Molecule: ribosomal RNA, 721 nt
Filed under: Sphingomonas sp. JNJ01
Lineage: Bacteria; Pseudomonadati; Pseudomonadota; Alphaproteobacteria; Sphingomonadales; Sphingomonadaceae
Also listed under: 1 other name
Description: bacterial SSU rRNA
Rfam family: Bacterial small subunit ribosomal RNA
Source: RNAcentral
UGCAAGUCGAACGAGACCUUCGGGUCUCUUGGGGCACGGGUGCGUAUCGCGUGGGAAUCUGCCCUUGGGUUCGGAAUAACACUUGGAAACAACAGCUCAUACCGGAUGAUGACAAAAGUCCAAAGAUUUUUCGCCCCCGGAUGAGCCCCCGUAGGAUUAUCUCUUUGGUGAGGUAAAGGCUCUCCAAGGCGACAAUCCUUAUCUGGUCUGAGAGGAUGAUCACCCCCACUGGGACUGAGACACGGCCCACACUCCUACGGGAGGCGGCAGUAGGGAAUAUUGGACAAUGGGGGCAACCCUGAUCCCCCAAUGCCGCGUGAGUGAUGAAGGCCUUAUGGUUGUAAAGCUCUUUUACCCGGGAUGAUAAUGACAGUACCGGGAGAAUAAACCCCGGCUAACUCCCUGCCACCACCCGCGGUAAUACGGAGGGGGCUAGCGUUGUUCUGAAUUACUGGGCGUAAAGCGCACGUAUGCGGCGAUUUAAGUCUCGGGUGAGAGCCCAGUGCUCAACACUGUAACUGCCUCUGAGACUGGAUUGCUUGAAUCUCGGAGAGGUGUGUGGGAUUCUCAGUGUAUAGGUGAGAUUCUUAUAUAUUCUGAAGAACACCACUGUCGAAAGCGCCCCACUGUACAUGUAUUGACACUCAGAUGCGAAAGCGUGUGCAGCACACACGAGUACAUACCCUGGUGAGUCUACGUCGUAACGAUGAUACUAGCUGCU